GAGCAGGCAGCAGGUGCUUCAUUUCGGCCACUUCUUUGGGUAUUUAAUUUACCUAUAUGUCGUCAUCACAACACAUCAGGGCAACUAUGGAAAACGCUAAAAACUUGCAUCUGACUAGAACUAGGCUAAAAAACCUCAAGAGACGUGUUAGUUUGAAAGAAAUAACGUCACAAUACAUCGUAAACAAUCUAAAGCAUUACAUUGGAUACGAAAGCAGAAAUCUGGCAGAUUUGUCUCCUCCUGUGCGUCGAGAUGUGUUGCAAACUUUAACAAAUCUGAAGUGCAAGAAUAGCGAAAGUGAGAAUCUUGAGUUUUGCAGAUAUCUAAAGCAUGCAUUUCCGCUUUUACUGAGCAAAGGCGAGACAAUUGGGACUCAUAGUCUAAAUCUAGACAACCUGCUGACAUUUUGCCCAAUAUAUUUAACGGAUAGUUUUCUA
Long non-coding RNA from Cloeon dipterum, 437 nucleotides. RefSeq lists it as uncharacterized. Lineage: Eukaryota; Metazoa; Arthropoda; Insecta; Ephemeroptera; Baetidae. The transcript is spliced from 3 exons. The record is from RefSeq and is a predicted model, not a curated record.